AACGACGCUGGCGGCAGGCCUAAAACAUGCAAGUCGAACGAACCUUCGGGUUAGUGGCGCACGGGGUGAGUAACGCGUGGGAAUAUCCCCUUCACUGCGGAACAACGUCGGGAAACUGACGCUAAUACCGCAUAAUGACUCCGGUCCAAAGAUUUAUCGGUGAAGGAUUAGCCCGCGUUAGAUUAGCUAGUUGGUGAGGUAAUGGCUCACCAAGGCGACGAUCUAUAGGGGGUCCUGAGAGGAUGAUCCCCCACACUGGAACUGAGACACGGUCCAGACUCCUACGGGAGGCAGCAGUUAGGAAUAUUGGACAAUGGGGGCAACCCUGAUCCAGCCAUGCCGCGUGUGUGAAGAAGGCCUUAGGGUUGUAAAGCACUUUCGGCUGUGAAGAUAAUGACAGUAGCAGAAGAAGAAGCUCCGGCUAAAUUCGUG
This 432-nucleotide ribosomal RNA is filed under the name uncultured bacterium. RNAcentral describes it as "bacterial SSU rRNA". It matches the Rfam family "Bacterial small subunit ribosomal RNA", at positions 32 to 507 of the family's 1533-position model. The record is from RNAcentral.